AGCCCAGCGCAUAAUCUCCCGGGCUACCAAGCCUGCGGCGAAAUGUUGCGUUAAGGGAAAGGUCGUUUCAAAGCCCUGCACAGCGUGUUCCUAAAUACGUCUUGAAUAUUCACUGUCUCCUAACGGAUUCAACGGUUCCAUAGAGGGUGCCAGACCCGUGUGGCCGCGUGAAUGUGCAUGGGUUCGGCUUAUAUUCCCAGAGAGUCGCGUUGCUUGAGCAUGCAGCGCUAAGCAGGUCGUAAACUCGACCUAAGGCUAAAUAUUUCCACAGAACCGAUAGCAAACAAGUACCGUGAGGGAAAGUUGAAAAGCACUCUGAAGAGAGAGUCAAAAGACCGUGAAACCGUUCAGUGUAUAAGCCAAUGGUACAAUCGGAAGGCUGGAGCUGCCGGCUACACUUGCUGUGACGGUAUCGGAUGUGAAAAGUCUAAGGCGCACCUGAUCUGGCAUUAAGUUGAUAGCAGGUCGACUACAAACAUGCGGGUCUCUGACAGUGGUAACAGGGGAGGUGAACUUGAGGCAUCUCCCCGAGGCUGGGCUUAUGCAUGGGGGCGUUGAAGGUCACACAAACGAGUAGCUCAUUAACGGCCCACCACAACUCUUUACGUGGUCACCCACACGACAUGAAGUGCACUGGCGUGGCGAGCCCUCGAUAUUCGCGCUGUCGAGGCCGGCCGCCAGUCUCAUGUGUUCCAACGUGUGUUUGGUACGAUCCUCUGUGAAGGUUGCUUUCUGACCAUCCGAAGCUAAGAUGUGGGUCGAGUGCUUGGGGGACCCGCAAUAAUACUCUGCGGAGGGUCUGUGGUAGUUGUGAUUGCUUAGGAUGACUUGGUGUCUUAUUCCGGAACCAUUGGUCACGUCUCGAAACACGGGCCAAGGAGCAUAGCAUGUGCGCAAGUCUAAGGGUCUCACAAAACCCGGUGGCGAAGUGAAAGCAAGUGGUGUGUCAGUGGUCAUCUUCGGCUGACUGCUGGCAGCCCCUGAGAGCGUAAUUCCUUUGAGGAUGAAUGCGUCUCGGGCUUAUACCGGGCUGAUCCAACGCAAUCAAGACGAAUGUCGAUGCGAUGGCGCAGGCCCCAGGCUCUCAAUCAGCAUGUUACGUGUUUGGGAGCACUGUGGAGCGUGUAUGCUAUGACCCGAAAGAUAGUGAACUAUGCCUGGCGA
This 1164-nucleotide ribosomal RNA is filed under the name Neopleustes pulchellus. RNAcentral describes it as "partial 28S ribosomal RNA". It matches the Rfam family "Eukaryotic large subunit ribosomal RNA", at positions 104 to 843 of the family's 3401-position model. The record is from RNAcentral. Lineage: Eukaryota; Metazoa; Arthropoda; Malacostraca; Amphipoda; Pleustidae.